GUAAGUUCCGACCUGCACGAAUGGAGUAAUGAUGGCCACACUGUCUCCUCCAGAGACUCAGCGAAGUUGAAAUGUUUGUGAUGAUGCAAUCUCCCCGCGGAAAGACGGAAAGACCCCAUGAACCUUUACUGUAGCUUUACAUUGGACUUUGAACAGAUCUGUGUAGGAUAGGUGGGAGGCUUUGAAGUAAGGUCGCUAGAUCUUAUGGAGCCGACGUUGAAAUACCACCCUGGUGUGUUUGAGGUUCUAACCUUGGCCCGUGAUCCGGGUUGGGGACAGUGUAUGGUGGGCAGUUUGACUGGGGCGGU
This 308-nucleotide ribosomal RNA is filed under the name Hemiselmis andersenii. RNAcentral describes it as "partial Bacterial large subunit ribosomal RNA". It matches the Rfam family "Bacterial large subunit ribosomal RNA", at positions 1976 to 2283 of the family's 2925-position model. Lineage: Eukaryota; Cryptophyceae; Cryptomonadales; Hemiselmidaceae. The record is from RNAcentral.